Long non-coding RNA from Schistocerca serialis cubense, 562 nucleotides. RefSeq lists it as uncharacterized. The record is from RefSeq and is a predicted model, not a curated record. The transcript is spliced from 3 exons. NCBI's taxonomy places the organism in Eukaryota, Metazoa, Arthropoda, Insecta, Orthoptera, Acrididae.
UUGUGCAGUGUGGCAACAGUGAAGAUAUGUCAAAGUGAAAAACAAAAAAACGUGUGUAUGUGAGAUUACGAAAAACUAUCAUCACACCGCUCGGAAGAUUAACGUCUGGAUUGUCAAUGGAAUUCAUCAAUCAAGAUAAAACCGAAUAGAUGUGAAAAAAGCCAACAAGAACACCGAUCACAUCAGAGUAUAGCUACAUAAAGCAAGGACGUGGCACACCCCCAACGAAUACUGUCUUACGAGGAUCUAGUGGCAUCGAGGCAUCUAGCACAAAGUCCGCAUCUGAUAGACGCCAUGGCCGGAUUUGCACAGGCUUGUCUUUUAUUGUCGGUGAAGACACACACAGAUAUACCAAUGAUCAGGGACUUUGGAUAUUGCCAGUAUUUGCUAUGAACUCAAAAUUUGGUUUGUGUGCAUACUUAGGCCCAAUUAAAAUAAAAGAAAUGUCAUUUGAACAGUUAUCUGUAUUGCAUUAAUGUAACACAUACCAAAUUUUACAUUUAUCAGAUGAGCAGCUUUUGUCCAACAGUUAAAGGUAAGUUCUUCAAUGAGGAGGUCAUCA